UUAUGGCUCAGGACGAACGCUGGCGGCGUGCUUCAUACAUGCAAGUCGAACGAUAAGGUUCCUUCGGGAAUACAUAAGUGGCGGACGGGUGAGUAAUAUGUAGAGAAUCUGCCCUGAAGAGGGGGACAACAGAGGGAAACUUCUGCUAAUACCCCAUAUGCGCGUAGUUGAGAUACUAUUCGUGAAAGAUUUAUCGCUUCAGGAUGAGUCUGCAUCUGAUUAGCUAGUUGGGGGUGUAAUGGACCACCAAGGCGACGAUCAGUAGCUGGUUUGAGAGGAUGAUCAGCCACAAUGGGACUGAGACACGGCCCAUACUCCUACGGGAGGCAGCAGUAGGGAAUUUUGCGCAAUGGGCGAAAGCCUGACGCAGCAACGCCCGCGUGAUCGCAGACGGCCUUCGGGUUGUAAAGAUCUGUCAGCAGGGACGAACAAUGACUGUACCUGCAGAGGAAGCACCGGCUAACUCCGUGCCAGCAGCCGC
This 481-nucleotide ribosomal RNA is filed under the name uncultured bacterium. RNAcentral's name for it is "bacterial SSU rRNA". It matches the Rfam family "Bacterial small subunit ribosomal RNA", at positions 17 to 518 of the family's 1533-position model. The record is from RNAcentral.